AAUGAACGUUGGCGGCAUGGAUUAGGCAUGCAAGUCGGGGGAAUCCCAGCAAUGGGGGAACCGGCGUAAGGGGCAGUAAGGCAUGGGUACCUACCUUGGGGUUCGGGAUAGCCAUCAGAGAUGGUGGGUAAUACCGGAUGACGUCGUGAGACCAAAGAUUUAUCGCCCUUAGAGGGGCCCAUGUGAUAUUAGCUAGUUGGUGGGGUAACGGCCCACAAAGGCGAAGAUGUCUAGGGGGUGUGAGAGCACGACCCGCGCCACUCGCACUGAGACACUGGCGAGACACCGACGGGUGGCUGCAGUCGAGGAUCUUCGGCAAUGAGCGCAAGCUUGACCGAGCGAUGCCGCGUGAGCGAUGAAGGCCUUCGGGUUGUAAAGCUCUUUAGUGGGGGAGAAAAGCCGCAAGGUGUGAUCUAUCCCAAAAAUAAGCACGGGCUAAGUUCGUGCCAGCAGCCGCAGUAA
This 462-nucleotide ribosomal RNA is filed under the name uncultured bacterium. RNAcentral's name for it is "partial 16S ribosomal RNA". It matches the Rfam family "Bacterial small subunit ribosomal RNA", at positions 29 to 523 of the family's 1533-position model. The record is from RNAcentral.